This is a long non-coding RNA of Papaver somniferum (opium poppy), 1711 nucleotides long. RefSeq lists it as uncharacterized. Lineage: Eukaryota; Viridiplantae; Streptophyta; Magnoliopsida; Ranunculales; Papaveraceae. The record is from RefSeq and is a predicted model, not a curated record. The transcript has 3 exons.
UUAUCACCCCGGAUAAUCUCUUUCCUUUGGCCUUCAUUUUUAUUUUAUCAAAAACAUUGAGAACCCUAGCCGUUUCUCUCAAAAAAAAAUCCUUCCAGCAACCAUGAUAUCAUCUCAAGCUUUGAAUCAUUCUAUUCAAUCUGUAUCCAUUUUCUUCGAUCUGUAGCAUAUUAAACGAUCGAGAUUCUUUUAUUCUCCUUCUCUUGCAUACAGCUUGUUUCACUCACAAUGUCGAUCUCGUUUCUGUAAUGUUCUAUUCUCUUUUUAUGGUUUUGUUAUGUAUUACAUUAGCACUAAGAAGAUGAAGACUUCGGAUAAUUUUACAUGUUAAGAACCCUAGCUGCUACUGAUUAGAUUGUUGGUCAGUUUUCAAAAAUUGUUAGGGUUUUUACUUCGAUUCUUCAGAUUCCGGUCACAAGGUUCAUUUCAAUUUGGAUUUUUAGGGUUUCUACUCCGAUUCUUCAAUUUUUAUUUUUUAGUGACAACAUCCGUCUCAAUUUUAGUUGUUAGGGUAUGUACUUCAAUUCUUCAAAUUGGGUAUCAGUCAGUUUCCGGAAAUUGGGAAGGUUUAAUGUUUUUGUUUGCAGGCUCGAUUCGAACGCAUGUGCUAGGUAGUUCGUCGGUUAUUAGUUGGGUGAUUACUGAGCUCGGUGGCCGAACUUCCUCUAUGCUUGUUCUGUCUUCUCCUCGGGCUCGGUUCAACUUCACUGGUCUUGGUGGCCCCUUCCUCAAAAUAGUGCAACAUCAAAGUGGUUUACAACAAGUAAGGGAUUGCACGCUGCUGUACUAAGUGGAAUAAUGGUUGGAAACCAAUAUAUUGUUGUUUCCUGGGAGGUCAAUGGCUUCAGGUAGCUGCUGAGACAAGUAUAACAUGCUGGUGUCCCACCAUCACUGAAUCCUCCUUGUUGGACAGGGUUUGUGCCUUAGGCAGUAUAUUUAUUAAUGCUUGAGAAGAAGUUUGUUCAUCCUCAACUACAUAAGUCUUCUCUAAAGAUAGCUGCAAUUCAAAUGCAUCCAGCAGAAAGCAAAGACGAAUCAAGAUUUCAACAACUUAAACUGAAGAUGCGUGACUCCCAGGUAUAUAUGCAUCUUGAAAAAAUGCACAUUGUUUCUGAUAAGUAAGUAGAGCCAUUCUGAGGUUUUUCUAGGAUUAAAUUCACUCCACCCCAAUCUUCUUGCAUAACUCAUUAAGUAGUUUACAUACAAUUUAAUUUGUAUUUGAUCUGUAGAUAUUAUGAUUUUAAUAUAUGCCACAUAUGCGAAUGUGUCAGGUAUUGGUUUCUGUGUAACUGAUUCACAUCAAGAAGUAUUUAAAUGUGACUUGGAAUCUUGUUAUAUAUAUAUUAGGAUCCCCAUACCUUCGUAUAUCUAUUGUUUUUUGAAGAUCGUUAGGAAAAGAGCAGCUGCAAGUGUUUUUGUUGAUUUUAGAAAGGGAGAUCCACAAAGCAAUGAUGAUUAUGACGAGUUGAAUGAUGGAACUAUGGCAAAUGCGAUAGAGAUGGAGUACUUGGACGUGUUUCAGUAGGUGGCCAAAAACUUAGAUAAAGUGAAUUCAGUAUUAAUGUUGUUUUAGAUGAAAUUUCGGGUUGUUAAUGUAGGAUGAAUUUAUCUGUUUUUGUAUAUUUGAGUUUGGGCUCUUAAUGUAAACUUGAAUUCAUAUUUCAGAUAAAGUCAAGUAUACUUACUUUUAAAUGAAUCCGCCUUUUUUUUU